Cyprinodon tularosa is the source of this 1375-nucleotide long non-coding RNA. RefSeq lists it as uncharacterized. NCBI's taxonomy places the organism in Eukaryota, Metazoa, Chordata, Actinopteri, Cyprinodontiformes, Cyprinodontidae. The record is from RefSeq and is a predicted model, not a curated record. The transcript is spliced from 2 exons.
CCCAUCAUGGCUGAGUGACUGGGCUGUUGCUGGGCAGGUCUGAGUCAAAGGACACAGGUAGCACCACCCUGCCACGCGCUGCUGGCUGUGGCGGAGGCAGGAUGGGGCUGACCCCCGCAGGGCGCCGGUGAGGUAGAGCUGCGGGGCGGACAGCUGGUGUCUUUGUGUGGAGCUGCACUAAUGGUCACUUUGAGCCACGCUAUUCACCACCAGGUUCACCCCCAUGACACGUCCGUAUAAACACUUCCAAGAAGGGGGAAUAAGUUUCCCACAGUCCGCUGAGAGCAGCAGCCCACCUGGAGGUUCUGGAGGAGUUCGCCGUAGUUAAACUCUGCGGAGGUCCGGUCGUCGGGCUCGGACAGGGACAGGUUGAGCCGAACGGUCGCCCUCUGCUCGGCGGCAGCCUGCUCCCUGUCGCCGUUAGUGGCGCUGCCUCCUGCCCCGCUGCCUGCCUCUGCCUCUCCGGCUCUGUCCAAGUUGAAAUCGGCCUCCUCCUCCUCCUCCAGCCGGCGUUUCCUGGACUCCGCGGCCGUUCCGGCUGCGAAGGCCGACAGGGUGACAAACUGCACUUUUCUCGGUUCGGCCAUUUGGAUGAGCUCGCUCCGGACAGACAGCGACACCCCGACAAGAGCGACUUCGCGAAACUACUCCAAAUCGGUGGUUGAAGAAGGUUCCGCGGAGCUCCGGCGGCGGCUGGGGGCCUAGACGGAGCGGAGAGCCUCCUCCGCAGCGGGCGGGCUGAACUCCAGGCGAUGCGACGGUCGAGGGAAAGUUGUCUUUUCAGCAGCUGCUCUCAUCCUCGGUUCGCUAUGGGGCUGAGACAUUCACAGGAGCCAUCUUGGGUUUCGGGAGUAAAUAAAAUAUCAUCGGAGAGGCGUCGGUGCGCACGCGCGUACUCACACAAAACGGAACCAUGUGCCACGGGGGAGCGCUUCACGGCCAAUCAGAGCCCGCCGGACCGUAGGCCCCGCCCCCUUCACAACAGGCGAUAAUAACAACACUGAGAAUUUCCUGAUCGACCAGAUAAGCCUGGUCCUUCAAGCCUUGGAAGGAAUCUAUGCGUCUCUCUGAGACUAAGGAAAACAUCCACCACUUCAGUUUGCAGUCCACUUAAGGAAAACUCGUUGACAGUCCGCUCCGCUGCUCCUCUGGACCUCUACAAGUCUGCCUGUCCGCCGUUCUUCUGGUUCAACCUGUGAGUCCUUCCUGGCUAUGUUUUAUCAACCUGUAAAUCCCAAGGACCUUGAACUCAUCACUCUGAUCUCCCUUUAAAGUUUCCGGUUCCGGUUCACCUGAUCGCUGGAUAUUCCCCAAGCCUAGAAUCCUUGGUUUAUGUCCCUCUCAGUGCCAUUAUCUCAAUAAACUGUUAAGCUUU